ACCUACGGGGCGCAGCAGUAGGGAAUCUUCCACAAUGGGCGAAAGCCUGACGGAGCAACGCCGCGUGGGUGAAGAAGGUCUUCGGAUCGUAAAACCCUGUUGUUAGAGAAGAAAGUGCGUGAGAGUAACUGUUCACGUUUCGACGGUAUCUAACUAGAAAGCCACGGCUAACUACGUGCCAGCAGCCGCGGUAAUACGUAGGUGGCAAGCGUUAUCCGGAUUUAUUGGGCGUAAAGGGAACGCAGGCGGUCUUUUAAGUCUGAUGUGAAAGCCUUCGGCUUAACCGGAGUAGUGCAUUGGAAACU
This 305-nucleotide ribosomal RNA is filed under the name uncultured bacterium. RNAcentral's name for it is "bacterial SSU rRNA". It matches the Rfam family "Bacterial small subunit ribosomal RNA", at positions 337 to 634 of the family's 1533-position model. The record is from RNAcentral.